ACCGAAGUGGUGGAAUUGGUAGACACGCUGCUUUGAGGUGGCAGUGAGAGUAAUCUCUUAGGGGUUCAAGUCCCCUUUUCGGUA
RNAcentral lists this transfer RNA (84 nucleotides) under Tsukubamonas globosa. RNAcentral describes it as "tRNA-Leu". It matches the Rfam family "tRNA". From Rfam's summary of the family: Transfer RNA (tRNA) molecules are approximately 80 nucleotides in length. Their secondary structure includes four short double-helical elements and three loops (D, anti-codon, and T loops). Lineage: Eukaryota; Tsukubea; Tsukubamonadida; Tsukubamonadidae. The record is from RNAcentral.